GAUGAACGCUGGCGGCGUGCCUAAUACAUGCAAGUCGAGCGAACAGACGAGGAGCUUGCUCCUCUGACGUUAGCGGCGGACGGGUGAGUAACACGUGGAUAACCUACCUAUAAGACUGGGAUAACUUCGGGAAACCGGAGCUAAUACCGGAUAAUAUAUUGAACCGCAUGGUUCAAUAGUGAAAGACGGUUUUGCUGUCACUUAUAGAUGGAUCCGCGCCGCAUUAGCUAGUUGGUAAGGUAACGGCUUACCAAGGCAACGAUGCGUAGCCGACCUGAGAGGGUGAUCGGCCACACUGGAACUGAGACACGGUCCAGACUCCGACGGGAGGCAGCAGUAGGGAAUCUUCCGCAAUGGGCGAAAGCCUGACGGAGCAACGCCGCGUGAGUGAUGAAGGUCUGCGGAUCGUAAAACUCUGUUAUUAGGGAAGAACAAAUGUGUAAGUAACUAUGCACGUCUUGACGGUACCUAAUCAGAAAGCCACGGCUAACUACGG
RNAcentral lists this ribosomal RNA (496 nucleotides) under uncultured bacterium. Its description in RNAcentral is "partial 16S ribosomal RNA". It matches the Rfam family "Bacterial small subunit ribosomal RNA", at positions 28 to 506 of the family's 1533-position model. The record is from RNAcentral.